RNAcentral lists this ribosomal RNA (421 nucleotides) under uncultured bacterium. RNAcentral describes it as "partial 16S ribosomal RNA". It matches the Rfam family "Bacterial small subunit ribosomal RNA", at positions 360 to 773 of the family's 1533-position model. The record is from RNAcentral.
AAUUUUGGACAAUGGGGGCAACCCUGAUCCAGCCAUCCCGCGUGUGCGAUGAAGGCCUUCGGGUUGUAAAGCACUUUUGGCAGGGAAGAAAAGGCUCUGGCUAAUACCUGGAGCUGCUGACGGUACCUGCAGAAAAAGCACAGGCUAACUACGUGCCAGCAGCCGCGGUAAUACGUAGGUUGCAAGCGUUACUCUGAAUUACUGGGCGUAAAGCGUGCGCAGGCGGUUCGGGAAGAAGGAUGUGAAAUCCCAGGGCUUAACCUUGGAACUGCAUUCGUAACUGCCGGGCUAGAGUAUGUCAGAGGGGGGUAGAAUUCCGCGUGUAGCAGUGAAAUGCGUAGAGAUGCGGAGGAAUACCGAUGGCGAAGGCAACCCUCUGGGAUAAUACUGACGCUCAUGCACGAAAUCGUGGGGAGCAAAC